AGACUGUCUGCUUCUAAUAGUCCGCCUAUAUGUCGGACAGGUACUCUGUUACCUUAAACCAUU
RNAcentral lists this ribosomal RNA (63 nucleotides) under Phellinus punctatus. RNAcentral's name for it is "partial 28S ribosomal RNA". Lineage: Eukaryota; Fungi; Basidiomycota; Agaricomycetes; Hymenochaetales; Hymenochaetaceae. The record is from RNAcentral.